Long non-coding RNA from Oryzias melastigma (Indian medaka), 5272 nucleotides. RefSeq lists it as uncharacterized. Lineage: Eukaryota; Metazoa; Chordata; Actinopteri; Beloniformes; Adrianichthyidae. The record is from RefSeq and is a predicted model, not a curated record. The transcript has 5 exons.
AGGGCGAUCAGCGAAGUUAGGCAGGAAGAAAUGGGAGGGAUAAAGCUCUAAAGGCGAUCUGAAAACCAUGGAAAUGACCUGAGAGAGAAAGAAAAUUAUCGAGAAAAAGAAAAACCGAAAAAUACGGAAUUCAAAACUUUCUCCGGGUUGGACAUUCUCUGGAAAUGUAGACCACAGGCCCUCACGUUGGACAGACAAAAAGGCAGCCCACCCCUCUCUGGCAAACAGAGCGGAGGCUCGUGCUGCUGCUCCAUCCUGGAUUCAAGCGACCAGCGCGCAGGAUGAUACCGAGUGGACGUAUGACGAUGCGCGCGCGGGAUCCAGUCCGCAAACCGUCUCCAUCCGUUCCACUUAGUGGGUAAUUCCGCUGCGUUCUGCUAUCUUCGCACAGCAGAUGUGUGAUGCUAUCGGGACGGGCGGCGCAAUCCCCUCCAUCCCAUGCUGACCACUGCAUAGCGCGGAGGCUCCACACUGCGCGCUUACACUGUAAAAAGUGUCAAUCUAAAAAAGUCAAUGCUUAAAAAAAUGACAGAUCAAACUGAAUGUGUAUUUUAGAUUUAAAUGUGCCAAAAAAUAACAGUUUAUAGGGAAAAAAUGAUAGAAAAGAAGGUUUUGAAAAAUAAAAUAAACAUAAAGUUAUUUUUUAAACCUAAAAAUACAUAUUUUUGUCGUUUAUUGUUUAAAAAAAUGCUAAAAUUACUAUUAUAACUGGAUAAAGAUAUACUUAUUUUCUAACUUAAUUAAAAUAUGUCGGUUUUUACUUUUUAGCUCAAAAGUCGCGCCAAUUUUUUUUACCAGCAGAGCCUGUAGAAAAGUUUCAAACAUCCUCUCCCUCCCUCCUUUCUUUUAUUGUUUUUUAUUGUGUGGUCUCAUUAGGGGGACUUCCUGGCAGGGCUCGGAGCUUGUAUCGGAGCUGUCCAAUCAGUGUAUUUACACGGGUUGUUAGCGACAGUUAAUGAGGGCUCCUCCCCGGGCUGCUGGAGAAAGGCGCCUCAACAUUAAGAUUUACCUUGUGUCAACUCGUUACUUCUAAUGAACACCACCCCCCCAAUGCAAAAGCCUCCUCGUCCUCAAUGGAGCAGCGCGCCCGGAUCUUGUGUGGGAGACUCUGGAAGAGUGGAGCUGCAAGUCGCCCCCACCCCUCCCAUCCCCUUUUCUUCCGCUCACUCAGGGAGAGUUCAGCUCUAUGAUGCACGCAUGCACGCUUUGUGCAUGUGUCCUUAAAUGGAUCAAAUUUGGGAGAGAUUUUACAUUUUUUGUCCUCAAAAUUUUGAUAGUUCUCUAUAUUUGGUGGAAUCUGUCAGUAAACAUCAAAAUAACUUUAUUUAUCGUCAGUUUGUGCGUCAUGGAGACACCUUACAGGUAAAAUCCUAAAGAACUGACAACUGACUGUUCCUUAUAUCAUGUUUUUCAAGUUUAUAAAAACAAAAGCCACAAUUUUGAAUGUAAUUUGCCUAUGCAAAAUCAUAUUUUACAGGUAAAAGGUCAUGCGUAAUCAUUUGGAUUAUCGGAUUAACUGAUGCGUUUUUUUUAUCUGUAUCCUUGCAGACAACAGGUAGAGUUGUGCAGAUGAUCCACCUUAACUGACAUAAUGUUAAACAUGCCCAUAAAUCCGCCUGUCCUCUCUCCUCCUCUGUGACGCGGAGCGGCGGCGCCGGAGGAGGCCCGCGCGCUGCUCAUUCUUCCAGGUAGCUGGGCUGAUUUGGAGACGCAGAAACAGAGUCAAAUAAGUAGAACGGGUGAAUAUCAGAUGCGUUGCCCCGAGCUCUACACAUGAUGCACACCUGGUGGGGGAGAGACCCAAAAGAGUGAAGACAAACUUCCCCAUUUACUGAUGCAAUUACAACUUCAGACCCUCUAAGAGGAUUUAAUCUAUUAUAAUAGUCUGUUUUUGGGGUGUGCCAGUCCUGAUUCCGCGCGCACUCUUCCCGGACCCGUCUCACCGGCCCUUUAGCCCGGUGUCAUAGAGGCUGACAAGCUGCAAUUACAGCGGCUGACAUUUUCCUCUCCAAGCUCACUAAUGUGGGAGACAUGGACAGCAGGCUGCGGCUCUCUGGCCACGAGGCCAUGCUCGGGACGGCCACGCGCUCCUGCGCUGACCUCCUAACAUUUCAGCAGAGGAAUACCCUCUUAUUUAUUAGGAGUUUCUGAUCUGAGGGCGGGAAUCGGACCACUCUAUAAACAGAAGCAUAAACUUAAAAUUCAUAUUUACAGGAGUCGUUUGAUCCUGAUUGAAAUCUGCGCGUCAUAUCAGGUUUAAAUUAGCAUUUAAAACAAUGGAAGGUAUUGUGUCCAGAUUCAUGUGAACCAGGCUCCAGUUUUUCACUUGUUCUUGACCAAAAAAGCGCAAAUUAUUGGCCGUUUUAUAACAUUUUUAUGAUCAGAUUUAAAAAAAAAAAGAAGUUUAGUUCAUAUUUUUGCCAGUUUUCAAAAUGAAGCAAUAAAAAUACAUUUUUUAUCACAUAUUCUUGAUUUUUUUAAGUAUUUGAAUCAUUACAGUUAACGCUGACGUCAUCAUUGUUAUUGAGAUGAAUCUGCUGUUUGGUGAUGGCAUCUGCUUGUCACAUUCACUCCAAGUUGACGCUCUCAUGAAAGUUUCAGCGUCCAAUCAGCGGCCGCGAGCGAGCCCCCCCCCCGCUUGUUCUGUGUGUUUGUGUCAUCAGGGCUGCAGUCACCGUGUCACCCACGAUCAAGCUAUUAUCUCACGUUUUGAUUGUUGUGCAUGGCAUACGCGCGCGCGCGCCCCCCGCUCAGUGACCACCUCAGAUCAGGUUCGUCCGUCCAGAGCGCGCGGGACUCGGAAAGGAGACCAGUUCCUGCUUGAAGACCAGAGGAAGACUGCGGGUCCGAAUGGUUGAUGUCAACUUUUGAACCCCUCCCCCCCAAUUUUGUUUACUAUAUCUUUUCAGAUAUUUAUUCAAAAUAAAUAUUUAAUUAUUAAAAACAAUCCACAACUCGAAUAUCAUAUUCAGGGAGGAGCCAGGACGCAAUUUAUUCAUCAUAAAGGAGUUCAAUCGACAUUAAAACGUCCAACAAUCAUUUUCAAACGAACAAAAAAAGCAAUUAAAUACAUAAGAUAUUCUUUAAUUCAUACUAAAUUAUGUUUUAUAUGACCCUUUUCUUUGAUUAACAAACAUUUACUGCCAUAAACUUAAUUUGGUAAAGUUUUAUUAUUCGAAACUUUUCCAAAAAUUCAUCCUUAAAGAAAUAUAAAGUUAAAGUGGACUCAAUUUUAGGACAACGGAAGUAUUUUUUCCUUAAAGUUAGGUGUAAACUUUCCCAGAAAACUUUUCUUUUACCAGAAAGGAGAAAAGGUGUUUUUGUCACAGCGAAAAAAAGUUAUUUUAGAGACGGUUGCUAUAGUAACAGAUUGUUAUUUUAGCUAAAUUAGAGAAAGACAAUCACUUCAAACUUGAAAAGCUACUUUUUCUCCAGAACAGUUGCCAUAUUUAUUAAUAGUAAUAUUAAUAGGAUGUAUUUUGGUGCAUGGGUGUUUUUUUUUUUACUUUUUUUUACUAAAUGUGAAGCUAACAAAAAAAUUAUCUAAUGUCAGUCAUAAUAUAAAGAUAAUUUGAAAUUGAUUGUCUCAAGAUCUUAUUAAACUGAACUGUAUCUGGAAGUUAAAUAAUGUUCGCCUUUACGCACAAGUGCGUAAUUACGCACAGACGAACAUCCUACUUGACACUAAAACGAAUCAAAAGAAGAAAAAAGUCUGGAAAAACUUUUGCAUAUGCUUCUACCUCACUGACCUACAUUUCUGAAGUGAAUUUAGCUCUUUAUGAAUGAUUCAGGCUCGGAUAGAUCACUGGUUUUGGGUGGCAGAUGUCAGAGCGCGAUGGAGAUGUUUAUUGGACUCAUUUAAGGCGCCAUUAUCCCGCCCGCUUAUCAAACAUUCAUGCGUGUCAGCUGCAGUUGUGGGUCUGGCCUCACGAGGACCAACCUUUCCCCUCAGCCUCAUCUCCUCGCACAUGAAGGAAACAAAACAAGUGAGUCAACACUUCCGAAAACGCCAAGGCUGCGUCAAAACGUCCAAAGAGAAUGCGGGUAGAGAUCUAAGGGGUUAUGAUGUUUCAUGUUGGUUCAUUUACGCAUCAAAACUAAAAAAUGGCAGAAUCUGAAUAUAAGAUCCAAAAAAAUUACAAUUUUGUUUUAAAUGCGCAGACGUUUAAUGUAAUAUAAUAAAUAAAAUUCAAAAUAUAAAGUGUCAGUGCAUUUGUUUGAUUAAAAAAUAUAUAUUUUUUGCGUAAAUUGAAAACGUUUCGUCUGAUUUUCAACAUAAUUGAUCAGAUUCUACGCAAACAUCAGCAUGGAUGUCUCUGUAUGUCCAUAAAAGGCGCGCCACCAUCCGCGCAAACGGAGCCUCACAAUGCUGCGCGCGCGCCCUGCGCUCUGCAUGUCGUGCGGGGCUAAUGGGAAGUAGUCGGAAGGUAAGGUCGCGGGUUCAUGGCGGGGUUAAAGAGACCCGUCCACGGCUCCUGUUUGCUCCUCUCUCUCCUUCCUACAGGAUGAUGUGUCCGCAGCGUCGCCGCCUCACCCCGCAGCCACCCCGUCACCGCACUCUGUUUGUUUUUCUGCGUUUAUUAAAUCUUCCUCCGACAGGAAAAGUGACCCCCCCCCAUCACCACGUCACGAGUUUGGCACUUUGCAUCACUUCUCAACUCCCUGAGAAAACCUUUUGUGUUUGGACUCGUCAGGUCUAUUUAUAUCCCAGGAGCAGCUGUUCCAGCAUCGGGAGGCUUUUCUUUCGAGGAUUUAUCGACCAAACGACAUAUUUGGACAUCCAUAGAGUAAAUGUAUUAUUCAUACGUGUUUUCUGCACAAAUACUGUUUUCCAAGGACUUGUUUUAACAAUUUACCGCCAUGUUUGUGGGGUUUUCAAAACUAUGAGCCAAAAAAAAAAAUCACACAAAUGUGAGUAAAAUGUGCUUUUACACUAGUUUUGACUAUUUAUUUUUUAUAAAAGUCUUGCAAAAGAUUUGCUUAAAAUCAUAUUAUCUGCUAUUUCACGUGUUUUUAUUUUAUUUAUUAAUUGUAAUUUAACUUUUAUGAGUGUUUUCUAAUGAUUUCUUUUAAAAAUUUGCCUUCAUUUUAGUGGAUUUUUUAAAAAUAUAUGUGCCAAUAAUCCCACAAAUGUAAUUAAAACGUGGAUAAAAAAUUACUUUGACACUAUUUUUUACAAAAGUAUUUUCUAAAAUGCAAAACAUUUGCUUGAAAUUGUAUUAUCUGCUAUUUCACAUGCGUUCCUGUUAACAUUAAAACAUGGAAACAAAGA